AAUCCUCAAGCUUGAUCCUAAGCUUGGUAAUUGGGCUCUGCUGUUCGUUUGAUUGGAACAGCUGGCCUUAAAAUCAUUAGCUGAUCCUAAUGGUUGUGGUGUUGGUUUUACUCAGCGUGAUAAUGAAUCUGACCGCUGGGGGGAAAUAUCUUUCGGGAUGGCCAAUUCUCAAUCUUGGGUUGCUUCUAAUUUGGCUUUUACGCAUAGCAUAUUCUG
Molecule: unclassified non-coding RNA, 216 nt
Filed under: uncultured Clavulina
Lineage: Eukaryota; Fungi; Basidiomycota; Agaricomycetes; Cantharellales; Hydnaceae
Description: sequence contains ITS2
Source: RNAcentral